AACGAACGCUGGCGGCAGGCCUAACACAUGCAAGUCGAACGCCCUAGCAAUAGGGAGUGGCGCACGGGUGCGUAACGCGUGGGAAUAUGCCCUUGACUGCGGAACAACGUCGGGAAACUGACGCUAAUACCGCAUAAUGUCCUCGGACCAAAGAGUUAUCGGUCAAGGAUUAGCCCGCGUCUGAUUAGCUAGUUGGUGAGGUAACGGCUCACCAAGGCGACGAUCAGUCGGGGGUCUGAGAGGAUGAUCCCCCACACUGGGACUGAGACACGGCCCAGACUCCUACGGUCGGCUGCAGUGAGGAAUAUUGGACAAUAGGCGCAAGCCUGAUCCGGCCAUGCCGCGUGAGUGACGAAGGCCUUCGGGUUGUAAAGCUCUUUCAGAUGCGAAGAUAAUGACGGUAACAUCAGAAGAAGCCCCGGCUAAAUUCGUGCCAGCAGCCGCGGUAA
This 449-nucleotide ribosomal RNA is filed under the name uncultured bacterium. RNAcentral's name for it is "partial 16S ribosomal RNA". It matches the Rfam family "Bacterial small subunit ribosomal RNA", at positions 29 to 523 of the family's 1533-position model. The record is from RNAcentral.